RNAcentral lists this ribosomal RNA (549 nucleotides) under uncultured bacterium. Its description in RNAcentral is "partial 16S ribosomal RNA". It matches the Rfam family "Bacterial small subunit ribosomal RNA", at positions 355 to 895 of the family's 1533-position model. The record is from RNAcentral.
UGGGGAAUUUUGGACAAUGGGGGAAACCCCGAUCCAGCCAUCCCGCGUGUGCGAUGAAGGCCUUCGGGUUGUAAAGCACUUUUGGCAGGAAAGAAACGUCGCGGGUUAAUACCCCGCGAAACUGACGGUACCUGCAGAAUAAGCACCGGCUAACUACGUGCCAGCAGCCGCGGUAAUACGUAGGGUGCAAGCGUUAAUCGGAAUUACUGGGCGUAAAGCGUGCGCAGGCGGUUCGGAAAGAAAGAUGUGAAAUCCCAGAGCUUAACUUUGGAACUGCAUUUUUAACUACCGGGCUAGAGUGUGUCAGAGGGAGGUGGAAUUCCGCGUGUAGCAGUGAAAUGCGUAGAUAUGCGGAGGAACACCGAUGGCGAAGGCAGCCUCCUGGGAUAACACUGACGCUCAUGCACGAAAGCGUGGGGAGCAAAACAGGAUUAGAUACCCUGGUAGUCCACGCCCUAAACGAUGUCAACUAGCUGUUGGGGGCCUUCGGGCCUUGGUAGCGCAGCUAACGCGUGAAGUUGACCGCCUGGGGAGUACGGUCGCAAGAUU